Long non-coding RNA from Drosophila santomea, 303 nucleotides. RefSeq lists it as uncharacterized. The record is from RefSeq and is a predicted model, not a curated record. NCBI's taxonomy places the organism in Eukaryota, Metazoa, Arthropoda, Insecta, Diptera, Drosophilidae. The transcript has 2 exons.
CAGUAGGCAGCGCAGUUGUUGCUUUUCGAGGGGUUUUUUUGGGGGGUAGCCAAAAUUCCGGGGCCACUGUUUUGGAAAAACUAAAGUUUCCACCUUCGUUUGUGGCACAUCGCCACUUGCUUUUCAUUUACAGCUGCCGCUGUUCAAAUGUCUGAAGUGCUGAAAGCUCCAUUAAUAAAAUUGGCAUGCGGAGAUGAUAAAGAAGAAACACAAAUCUGCUAGCCUUGAAACUCAGAAAUAGUUGGAUACUCCUGCUACUUAACCAAAGUGAAUAAUAAAUAAAAACCUAUCAAUUCAAAAGGA